CCCAAGUGCAAUUUUGUACGGUUUAUAUCCAAAGUUUGACCGUUUGUCUUAUUUAAAAAAAUAUAAUAUUUUUUAUUACUAUUAGAUGAUAAAAUAUAAAUAAUACUUUAUGUGUGACUAUUUUUUAUUCUUUUAUAAUUUUUUUAAAUAAGAUAGAUGGUCAAAUAUUGAACACGUAUACCCACGGCUGUACUUAUU
Non-coding RNA from Oryza glumipatula, 198 nucleotides. NCBI's taxonomy places the organism in Eukaryota, Viridiplantae, Streptophyta, Magnoliopsida, Poales, Poaceae. The record is from Rfam.